GUGCAUGAACACUGUCCUAUAUAUUGCAUGUAUUAUGCGAAUGUGUGCAUGAACACUGUCCUAUAUAUUGCAUGUAAUAUGCGAAUGUGUGCAUGAACACUGUCCUAUAUAUUGCAUGUACCAUGCGAAUGUGUGCAUGGACAGUCCUAUAUAUUGCAUGUUACUAUGCGAAUCCGCAUUUGGAAUGUACAAUUGCUGAAGCGUCUACGUUAAUAAUAAUCACUUGUGUUACCUCUUGAUUACAUUGAACGAGGAAUAAACAUGUGGAGCCUUUUUAACUCGAGGAGGAAAGUGUCUCUCCCAGAUGUUUCUACGUCCUCAAUGGACAUUUACGAGCUCAAUAGUAGUAUUUGUAGGAAGACCUCACUGAGACUCAUGACUCCAGGAGGGUCCUUGCCAUGAGAUGUUUGGCCAAGCAGCUCCUAAGAGUCUGAUUUCAUGUGGGAGAAACCCAGAGAACCCUGAGAGAAAGCCCGCUCCGUGCUGUAUUUGAGGGGGUCACACUCAGCACUGCCACGACAGACCCACGGCACGCUCUGGCCAUCACCAAUGAACGCACUAACCAGGCUAAAAAAAAUCUGCUUAGCUUGAGAGAUCAUGAAAUCAGAAUAUUCAGGACGAUGUAAGUGUAGCCAUGUACAAAUGUCACGUUCCAUAUCAUUCAAUAAAAAGGGAUAUUAGCUGUCAUCCUAUGCAAUGAAACAAAUUGGAACAUUCUCGCAUCUUACUUUGAAUUUGUAGAUUAAUUGUCAAGAGCUGGAAUGCUGGUGCCAUUUUUAUACGCACAUAAUUUAGGGUAUAAAUGCGUGGAUUCAUCAAUUCAAUUGAUACUCAUGAUACAGGUAAUAAAAAAAUCAGCACGGGUAUGUGUCAUAUUGAUUUACUUAAGAAAAUCCCUACAGCCACUAGAGGCGCUACCAUUCACCACAUUGUAAACAAAAAUAAGUUAUCAGAUUAUAUGGUGACUCCGAACAGUGACAAUUUCAAAGUAUUGUAUGCAGUGCUUUCCAAAAUUUCGAACAUUAUGUUUAUUCCAUAAGAUUCUCCCUGUUAAGGAUGUUGUUUUGCUGUUUAAAUAUGGCUCGCAACUUGUCCAACUUUCUAGAUAAAAUGUUUUUUUUUUUAACGCAAAUAUAUAUUCACCAGCUGGGUUUCAAAGCAAACUGCUCGACUUGAAACCGUGUGUGUACAUUAUUGAAAGUGAACUUUUUCUGCAUUUCUUCCCCAGAGUAAGUCACGGUUCACAUUGUAGAACAAAGGAGAUGGAGGGACCCUCUGCACCGCAGCUCAUUACCAUCACACAAAGGAAAACGCAGUGGCGAAGCAAAUGGGAAGCGCUGUGGAAUAACACGACUUGUGGUGACGUUGAGGAGACCUCCACCACGGAGGGUGUCUGGCCCUGCUGGGAUUGGACUAAUGUCAAUGUUGACCGCCGAUCUCACCCUCGCCGCUGGCUUAACAUUCAGCGCAUUGUGGCAGGUGCGAAAACAAACUCAUCACAAGGAACUUUGGUGAAUAAGGAAACUACAUCAAAACUGACAAGCAGGUCAUCUGGGGACAGGGAAAUACCCUUGAUUGUCAAUACCAGGCUCCGUUCACCUUGUAGAAGACUAAUGGCCGUGAUCACCAAUCAACGCCAUGCGGCGCGGGGUGGACACGGCAGUAGACAACACUUCCACGGGAGGCGACCUUCAUUCUCCCAGAUUGCAUUUGAGAAAUGUCCUUCUUUAAAUUACACAAUUACAGGCAGGCACGCAACGGCGCAUUUAUGCAUUGACUGAAAUAAGAUUCCGACGCUCGCGACACCACACAUGCGUCACAUUGAAUUGUGCUGCUUGAGAAUCGAUCUUUCGCGAUUCAUGCAAAUAUCAUGCAAACGAUAUGCUAAUGUCACAUUUAAGCUAAUGGAGCGAGCAAAACUACACCAGCGAGAUGGGGCGGGGGGGGGGGGGGAAUUGGAAGCAACGCCAAAUGAGAUGGCGAUAACAAGACAAUACAACGCGGAAAAAUUAUGACGUCCUGAAUCGAAUCACGGUGCCAAAAUGGGGACAAUUUAUACAAUUGCUUUGUCGGGGGGUGGGGUACAUGCAGAAUCACAGCAGUACGAGCACUGAAACCCACUUGCAUUGGCAUCAUCAGCCCGUGUGCUGACGACAAGAAUUGUGGAUAAGUCUUCCUGUUUUUGAUCUUAAAUAGGGUAAGGUCAUGUCACCACUGUGAGCCUAACAAGUGCGAAACACCCAGGGAGGUUAAUGCAUUCAACACAAUACUGACAAUCGCCUGAUGAUACUGAUUUUAUUAACGAACGAAACGUCGUACACAAAAUUGUAAAUGUUGUGGGAUCGCUCUCUAGCAUUGACAUGAUCUAACCCAAAAAACGUUAUCAUGACCAAUAAUAAUGGUCGCGAAAGUCUUCAUCUUUAGUUGACGCCAUGCUUUACGGAAAUAGCCCCGAACCGAACUCGACUCCUCUUUGUUCCGAAAUUAUCUUGGCACCCAGCCACACCCAUCUCACCUUAUUCUGCCCUCGUGAUUUUUAUGAUUUAUAGGAUUAUAGGAAUAUGGGGUACAAUAAUAUGGGAUUAUUAUAGAUAGUUCAACCUUGUAUUCGAGUGGCAGCAGCUCAUGACAAAAAUCCCUACUCCAGGGCUAGUCUAGCAAGAAAUUAGCGCCGUAUUCCUAUUGCCGAAAACUUAGAGCUCGCUGGUUCUCACCAGCGACACCCUACUUCAUAUAUUUUCUAAGAGACAAAUUCAGUUCCACCCUACAUCCUUUGCUCGGAGCCUAAACGAGAAUUGCCACUCUCUCUCUUUCCGAGUAAUUUUGAACCAAAUAAAACCACCCACGUUUGGGACUGCCUCUGCACUUAUCCCAGCAUAACUCUGUCGGCUAAUCUAUUCGGAUCUAUGUAAUUACACGGCUGUGCCAUUAAAGUCUGGCUUGUCCCUAAAAAUAAAAAAAACACCCAACAUAUAUAUACACACACACAGGACUUAUAAGAUAGCUCUGAGUGGUUCUAUGUAAACAUUGAAAAUAUGUAUGGUCACACUCAGUACCAUCUUCUCACAGCCUCGCCUUCCCUCUCAUUCCCCAGCACAGGGCACACAAGAAGAUGAAAUCCGGACGCAAGUUUUGAUAUUUCACGGUGGACUUAAAUUGUUGCAAUCGUGAUUUUGCUCGCACCAUACUGUAUGUAACGGGCAAGCAAUGACGCGCAUGUGUUGUGUGUGAAAAAAAGUAUCAAAUAUUCUCACCCACGUGAAGAGGUCAUCCUUCUUAGCAACGCACUAUCUCGUCAGUUUGUAACGUUCGUAGACGUUUUCGCCGUGUGUGCCUCUAUUAAAGUGUUUUUUUUCUUUCAGGAAUUUGCCGUGGCUUCUUGCCUCCGUGGCCAAGCCUGCUGGCUCGAACCCCAAAGGCUCCGCUCGCUGUCUACCCGUGCCCUGUUAGGGGUGCGCGCCGUUGUGUUGGGUACAAAACGCCCCAAUUCCAAUCGGCUCCAGAUUGGGAGAUAACUCAGUACAUUCAAGAACCUGCCGAGACCACCAAGGGAAUUUUAAUGCCACCCAUGGAGUUUAUGUUCUUCGAGCUAUAUGCUGCAACCAAUUUUAAUGUCAGCAUUCAGCUAACAGUGGUGAGUGCUAACAUGUUUGAGCGAUGCAUGGAUGUUGCGUAAGGGUACGCAAUGGUUGUCCCUUUAAUUAAUGGGACUGUAGCUAGGUUGAAAUCAGCCGUGGCUUACAUCAGCGGGGAGUGAUAUCUUAACCUGUCCUUGGCGUCUCCUCUUCGCCAACCUGCACUGACCGGCAUGAAGUAUGGACCAAUAGCCCCCGUGACCAACAGAGCUUUGGUCCAGUAAGGGGCUGACAAAGGGCUGAUAUCUUUUUAAUGUCUUUUAUUUAAAUUUCGAUUUAAAGCUUUCGUGACUGCAGGGAUUCAUCUUCUUGGUUCUUUCGGUAAAGUCACGUAGAAGGGAAAUAAAAAAAAUUUCUUUUGACCAUAAUGAAUGUAUAUAUAUAGCGAUGGAGUGGGUGUGACGAGUUUUGGCUUUGUGAAACCACCCCAAACGUUGAGCUGUAAUUAUUGGACAAUGUUGCAGUACGUACAUGAUGCACACGAACAUCGCCAUCGUCAUCGUCAAGAGCUAUGAUCAAUGCACUGCUAAAUGGAGGCAUCCCCAUGUUAUUCCCAUACCACACGGUCUGGUGAUGCCACUUCUGCGCAGGAGCUGGUCUCCUUGCUCCAUCUCCACGAUGGUGGAGACCUUUGGCGCGCUGUGCUUUGGCUGCCAUUCUGUCACGAGUCAAUUGGCCAGCAUCCUCUCGGGCGACACGAUGACAUCCCAUUUGCAUUUGUGCUCAAAUAAAUGCAUUUCUCUUCCUCUCCCCUUAGUGUAUAUCCAAUCUCUCCGUGCACUUUUCAGUUUUGUGCGUUAAGUCCACAUUCCCUAUUGGGGGAAAAAAAAAUCUCUCCUUUUUGCAUGCAUUAGUUGCUUUUGAUGAUCAAAUUACAUUUUCAAAAAAUAGCUUGAACCUUGCAAGCGGCCGCCUCGUUAUUUAAUCGUUUUGAUCGUUAUCUGUCCUCAAAUAAUUAUUUAAAAAGAGAAGAGGAAAAAAAACCGCUGUCACUUUUACUCAAU
Non-coding RNA from Petromyzon marinus (sea lamprey), 4639 nucleotides. The record is from RefSeq and is a predicted model, not a curated record. Lineage: Eukaryota; Metazoa; Chordata; Hyperoartia; Petromyzontiformes; Petromyzontidae.